UUUCUUUUUUAAAGAACUGAAAAGCUCUGACAUUGAGUCACUAUAAAAAUCUCUCCAUAUAUAUCCAAUUCUUACUUAGACGGAGACUAAGUAGACCACCCGUUUAACUUGCCCCAUUAUUAGGAGCAUAACUAUCAAUACAAAAUGAAAAAAAAAAAAAAAUGAUUGAACUGCAGUAUCGCAUAAAAGCCCAAAAGGAAUAAAGAUAUACAAAGAGCAGCUACCCAGCCCCAAAAACGCAAACCAAAUCCUCCUCAGAAAUUAAAACAAAAUAAUAAUAAUAAUAAAUUGAAACUCAUCAAAUCGAACUCACUAAUUAUCUUGGGAAACCUAAGACAAAAACAAGCAACCAUCGCUACAAUACAUUGGCUUCACCGCUACUAGGGCUUCAAUCCACAAUCUCCGGAUCUAAAGAAGUGGCGACCAAUUCAGACUCAAAAGAGCGAAUGUCAAAGACCCAAAAUGCAAAGACAUCCAUGCUGGCCUAAAUGACUCUAGGUUAGAAACAGUGAGUCUCACAGCUCUAAAGGUGAUGUAGCAGAGCUCACAACAUCCCUAAUAUUUUGGGAUGGGCAGAUCAUCGAACAUAGCAGUGACAAUCUUGAAUUGUAUUUAUCACAUGAAAGGUCUCCGAUUGAGCAGAGAGUUCCAAGGAAACUGAGCUAAUAUUUCCAUCAGCAUUGAAGCAUCUCGAUCUGAAAGCGACAAACACCAAAACUCAACACAAUUGCACCAACAGAACAAGAUAAAAAAAAAACACCAUUGGAGAACAAGAAGUUCUCCAAUAAAAAAAAUUAGUAUUUAAAAUUUUUUGUUAAGUGUUUUAACUGAAUUACCAUAUAAAUAACCAUAAUUUAACUGAAUUUUUAUCAUGGUCUUAUAAUUUUUUUUGAUAGUGAAAUAUUACACUCGGCAAGUCUUUUUUUUUUUUUUUUUAAAUAGUGGCUAAUGCAAUAGAAGCGCACAAAUCUUCAUCUCCAUAUCAAAAUGAAAAACCAUACAUUUCUGUCCUCCCAAUAAACGGAAUUAAACCUGCAUGUCAACAAUAGGAUCCUUCUUUUGUUCUGUUAAGUUGUUUUAUUUAAAAUUAUCAAUUAUCCUUAAAAAAAAAUUUCUUUUUCCUGAUUUUAAUGCAUCUAUGACUAUUUUCAAAAUUCCUUAACAUCUAUCUAAUCACUUCUCUUUCUCUUUUAGUUAUCCCAUGCUUUUAGUGGUGGAUCAAUAAAGAAAACUAUUGAAAUGAAAUAAUUAGAUAAAAUAAAGGGUAAAUUUAAUUUAAUUAAAUAUUGUCUUAUUAUUACUUGGGUGAUAUUUUUACUUCCUUGAUCACCAUGAAAAACCUUGAACAAAUGAAGAAAAUAUAAAACAAAUCGAAGUACUGGACACUGAAUAAUGUUUGAUGAAUUAAUCCUCUGUAAAUAAUACUCCCUCUAAAUCAUAAGAAAUAGAUUUUAUAGUUAUUUUCAUAUUAAUUAAAAAAUAUAAUCUUUUAAACAAAAAAUUAAAAAAAUAAUAAUUAAUAUAAUUAAAAAGAAUAAACUUCAUAAUAUUUUUUUAAAUGUAUCCCUAUUAUAUUGUUUCGAAUGCAUAUUAGACAAAGAUAUAUUCCACCUGUUUCAACAAGACACAACCCCCUUGAUCUUCCUUAUGAUUCAUAUUGAUAUUCCUUGUGAUUCAAAUGAGGAAAAGCCUGACCUUAAAGUUGAUAGUUUUCAGCAAGAAUUCUCAAAAUUUAGCAUAGGGAACCAGUCUUCGAAGACAUGAAAGUUUUCAGCAUGGGACCAUCAAUUUUGGGAGCUCCCAAAGAGACAAUAUCUUCAGUGGAAGCCAUAUUUUGUGCCUCAAAGAUUUUGUCACAAACUGUCAAACCUUCCAACGGCAAUUGAGUGUAGUUAGCGAGUCGAAGUUGAGACUCAAUUCCAGAUACUGAAUCAGUGAGUUUAGCUUUGGAAGAGGAGGAGGACAAGAAGCCCAAUGAAGAAGAUUUUUCUCAAGAAAUUGAAAUGCUGUCUAAUUGGGAUUAUGUUUCUGUCCUUAUUGGUUAUACAACUUUUAUUUAUUUCUUUUUAUGUAAGGGCAUAAUAAUCAUUUUCCUAGCAAUUAACAGCAAUAUAACCGAAUAGGAGAACCUAUUUACUGCAUUAAAUCAAAAUUUCAUGACUAAUUUAUUACUAAAACUUUAAUAAGGGAUUAAUAUGUGAAUUAAAUUAUAUCUCAGGGACUUGCAUGUAAAUUAUCUAAAAGUAAAGUAAGACUAAUUGAAAAGAAAAAAGUAUGCUCAUCUUAUUGCGGGUGAUAUAUAUAGAACAAAAAUGAAUGAUUUGGAAGCUGAUGAAAACACGACAUUAAUUAAUUUCAUGGGUUAUCCAAAGAAGUGAUGGAAAAAGGGUCCCAAGUAAGAAAAUCUUAGUAAGAAAAAGGUCUGAACACAAGGACAUCUUUAUUCUAAGCACUCAACAACCACCAUCUGCAAAGGAGAUUGCAGAUGAAAAGUAAUGAAGGAAACCCUUUUUUUCAAAGUCGGAUAUAAUGCAGAAAACAACUUCUGGGUGGGGAUUACCAUGCCAUGAAGACAUCAUUUUGGUAGCUCAUUCACAUGAGAAAGAAAAAGGCAAACAUAAUAAGAAUGGAGUUGUAAUAUUUUAAUGCUUAGAUUUAAUCAUUGAAGAGUAGCAGUUCAAAGAAUGAACAUGUGUUAAUCAUGAAAAACCAGAAUAGCAUUUUCUCUAAGUACAACAUCUAUGGUCCACCUAAUUAUCACCCUCCAAAAUCUACGUGACAUCAUUUUCUUCAUUUAAACCUUCAACGAGUUGGUGUUUAUAGAAUCGAGUAUAAAAGUUAUAUUUAAAUUAAUAUUUUAAUCAUUUCCACGGCAAGACGAAGAACUAAAAGAAUUUAUAUAUUAUUUUCGCAAAAAAUAUAUAUUUACUAGCUUAUUAAAUUUAGUUAAAAAAUGGAAGAAAAGACACCAAAAAUUAGUACUGACCUUUUGGUGGGGAAGGAAAAUAAUGAGAGAGGAUUUCAUUACAGAACGAAGCAGCAGAAGAAAAAAUCUUUGCCCACAUCAUCAAAAAAGGCUAGGCUUAAAAUGUUUAUAGCUAGUGUUACUAAUUAAUGAACAUCUUAUAGUAUCAAAAGUUGAAAAAAUAUAUCUACUGAGAAAGAAGACGACACGAAGAUGCAAAUCAAAACAAAAUCAAAUCUCGACAGGGACAAAGAAGAUCGAACAGACAAGAAAAGUUGUACAAAUAUUACUAGUGAUGAAGUCACUUUCCUAUUACUAGUACUGUUACAAUUUUACACGGACAACUCUGAAGAAAGAAAAUAAACUGGGAAGACCAACCUAUGAGAACCCAUAAAUAGGACUUCAAUGGAGGGAGGGACAAAUUGAUAUUCAGUGGAAAGAAAACGGCUAGGGUAUGAUCAACAUAUAGGUUUUGUAUAUAGAGAGAAAAAGAAUUGCUUUACCUUAUUUGAUGAUUCAGUUCCAUCCCCUUACGGUGUCUGACUGCGACAGUUUUGGGGAGAGACACUGAGGGAGAAACUUUAACGCCUGUGGUCUGCUUGUCCCGUUGUUGUAGCCUAUAUAUAUAUCUCGAAGCGCAAGUUUUGCCUCGAAAAGGAGCUUUUACAGAGCAGCGCACGUGUAACCCAGUACCCAAUGUUCAUCUCUGUAGCGGCUUCCAUCGUGUUUAAUAAAAACCCUAACCACUCUGAAUUCAGAAAUAAAAGCAAACCGACAAACUGAGAACCCUAAGCCCAUGACUUCACAUUAGAGCAUUACUGAUCUUACUUUAUUCCAAGUGAUUAUAUGAUCUGCUACUUCUUCCCCAUCAACCCUCGAACACUCGCUACAAACCAAAUCAUCCAUCGUUCUUUUCUUAGUCAUUAUAACCAUGAUAACGUUAAAAUUUACUAUAAGAUUACCA
RNAcentral lists this long non-coding RNA (3929 nucleotides) under Manihot esculenta (cassava). RNAcentral's name for it is "long non-coding RNA (MESC_LNC002654)". Lineage: Eukaryota; Viridiplantae; Streptophyta; Magnoliopsida; Malpighiales; Euphorbiaceae. The record is from RNAcentral.